AUGAUUUGUAUUUUCAUAAUAACAAUGCUGCGAGAAUUGCUGUUGGUCUGCGCUUAGGAUCCCAAUUAUGCGAGGAGUAUAGGUGUGUCUGUGGUGAGUUAGUUAAAAAGGACGGUUUGCAUGGAUUAUCAUGCAAGCUUAAGACAGGGAUAACGCCGCGACAUGAUUCUGUAAACAGAGAGUUUUCUCAUGCUUUUUCUGCCGCAGAUUUUCCAACUUUGUUACAGCCACCAGGAAUUUCUAGAGAUGACGGUAAAAGACCUGAUGGUAUGACUCUAAUUCCGUGGAGUCAUGGUAAAUCUCUUUUAUGGGAUGUGACAGUGCGUGAUACGUUGGCUCCUUCAUACAUUGGUGAAACUUCUAAAAAAGCACGCUCAGUUGCAGAAAAAGCGGAGAGAUUAAAGCAUAAUCAUUAUAGAAAACUUAAAGAAAAUUAU
Bradysia coprophila is the source of this 437-nucleotide long non-coding RNA. NCBI's taxonomy places the organism in Eukaryota, Metazoa, Arthropoda, Insecta, Diptera, Sciaridae. The record is from RefSeq and is a predicted model, not a curated record.